ACCGGUAGCUUGCUCCACCGAGAAAAAGAGGAGUGGCGAACGGGUGAGUAACACGUGGGUAACCUGCCCAUCAUAAGGGGAUAACACUUGGAAACAGGUGCUAAUACCGUAUAACAAUCAAAACCGCAUGGUUUUGAUUUGAAAGGCGCUUUCGGGUGUCGCUGAUGGAUGGACCCGCGGUGCAUUAGCUAUUUGGUGAGGUAACGGCUCACCAAGGCCACAAUGCAUAACCGACCUGAGAGGGUGAUCGGCCACAUUGGGACUGAGACACGGCCCAAACUCCUACGGGAGGCAGCAGUAGGGAAUCUUCGGCAAUGGACGAAAGUCUGACCGAGCAACGCCGCGUGAGUGAAGAAGGUUUUCGGAUCGUAAAACUCUGUUGUUAGAGAAGAACAAGGAUGAGAGUAACUGUUCAUCCCUUGACGGUAUCUAACCAGAAAGCCACGGCUAACUACGUGCCAGCAGCCGCGGUAAUACGUAGGUGGCAAGCGUUGUCCGGAUUUAUUGGGCGUAAAGCGAGCGCAAGCGGUUUCUUAAGUCUGAUGUGAAAGCCCCCGGCUCAACCGGGGAGGGUCAUUGGAAACUGGGAGACUUGAGUGCAGAAUAGGAGAGUGGAAUUCCAUGUGUAG
RNAcentral lists this ribosomal RNA (629 nucleotides) under Enterococcus faecium. RNAcentral's name for it is "bacterial SSU rRNA". It matches the Rfam family "Bacterial small subunit ribosomal RNA", at positions 65 to 678 of the family's 1533-position model. Lineage: Bacteria; Bacillati; Bacillota; Bacilli; Lactobacillales; Enterococcaceae. The record is from RNAcentral.